GACGUAGGGGACGAGCGUUGUCCGGAUUCAUUGGGCGUAAAGCGCGCGUAGGCGGUUCGGUAAGUCGGGUGUGAAAACCCGAGGCUCAACCUCGUGCGUGCAUCCGAUACUGCCGGACUAGAGGUAGGUAGGGGAGAUCGGAAUUCCUGGUGUAGCGGUGAAAUGCGCAGAUAUCAGGAGGAACACCGGUGGCGAAGGCGGAUCUCUGGGCCUUACCUGACGCUCAGGCGCGAAAGCUAGGGGAGCGAACAGG
RNAcentral lists this ribosomal RNA (253 nucleotides) under uncultured bacterium. RNAcentral describes it as "partial 16S ribosomal RNA". It matches the Rfam family "Bacterial small subunit ribosomal RNA", at positions 524 to 776 of the family's 1533-position model. The record is from RNAcentral.